AGAUCAAUACGUGCAGUGCUGAAUCUCGCAUCAGUUAAUGAAAAAAGCAUCCAAUAUUCAUUGCUUUCCCGACAGUUAAAAGAUGUACCUCUCACCCUUCACUAUCCAAUUAUGAAACAUGGGCCCUAAAAGUAUUAACAAAAGAGUAACACAAUUUGAAACCCAUGAAACGAUGCUGCGAGCAGCUCAAAGUAGGAUAAUAAAAUCUUUUUGAAGAAUUAUUGAUUGAUGCAGCUGAUGGUCAUUAGGCAGAUGCAGCCCUGAUGUCAACCCCAAUGGCCCAGCUGUGGUCUAGCCCCACAGGUGAGAAGUGAGGCCACUAGAUGCCUUUGAGCAUUGACUCCUGGCCUUAACUGCUUAUGAGAAAAGUGCAAUCAGAAUUCAAAGACAGGAUGCCAUGAGUAAAUGGUCAUCUCUCACUAAUCCAGCAAUAUUAAGUUAGAUUGUAGGCAGCUGCCUCUUUGUUCUCAUCUAUGCCCUCUGCCCAGUGCAUCACCACUGAAAGCCCAGCUGUCAGAGCCCCAUGCAGACGUUAGCUUCUGCUCUGGGACUGGCAAGAGCUAAAUGGUACCACAACUGAAAGGGUAUAGCAUCAAGACUUCAUGUUGAAUUGGACUACAUCUUUUCGGGAGAUGGCAUUGGGCUAAUAGUUAAAAUAAAAAGCAAUAAUCCAUGAGAAAGACUUUUUCUUCCUGCCAAUGGUGUCACUGGCUUUCACUAUGCAAUUGUCUUGAUUCUAUGAAAUACCUCUUGGCACUACUGUCCAGAUUCAAAAAAGGACAGAGACAUGAAACACGGGUCUUGGAGGAAGCAAAGAUUAAAGUACCAGUCCUGACAGCACCAUUCACCUGCUUUCUAAGGCCUCUGGAGGAUUCAGUUUUUUUACCAUUGCAAGUUCUGAUGACAUCUCACCUACGGACCCAUAAAAUUCAGUAAAAUCUGAAGCAGGAAAGGCCUGGGCUGGUGAUGCAAAUAUUAAUAUCACAGUCCUGCCUGUCCUUGCACUGCACAGCAGCCAACUGUUUGUUGGUCUUUCCUUGUGAAGGCAACCAGCUUCCGUGGAGCUGCCCUUGUGCUUAAAAUAUCCUACAGCAGUGUGAAAGAAAGGAGAAAAAUGGUGCUUGCAUAAUGAUCGUAAUAUUGAUUUAAAAAAUAAAAGGAAAGUCAGUACCUCAGGAGCUAAAGAUGUUCUUAUCUAGUUUCUUAAAUAGUCCUAUCUGAGAAAAAUAUGGUGUUUAAAAAAAACCCAAACUCCAAACAUGGCAUUUUCUCCACAUCUUUUGCCAUUCUGUCUUCUCAUAGAAGAAAGAAAAGGCCCCCCAGCCUCUGACUGGCAUUACUUUCAAUAAAGCGUGUGAAGUAAGCAAUUUUCUUCUUUCUUUUUUUUUCUUUCAAGCUAAUUGUCUAUUUAGUUAAUUGACAAUUGGUUUCAAUUGCUGUCAAAUGGGGACAGUCACUGCAUUUUUGCAAGAUUUCUAAAUAAAAGCCUUCUCUCACUGCCCAGCCUAUCCAUGUUAACAAAGACGACUGUGAGUGUAUCAUCCAAUUAGCAACAAAAUGAAAAACUACAGUGCUCCCGCCGGAAGAUUAUGGUUCACGUACAGUAAUUUGGAGCUGUUUUGGGUACAGAAGGUCUGCUUGCACACAGCAACAGAGGGUCAGAUUGCCAACAGAACCACAACAUUGACUCUGGCUCUCUUAGGAAGCAAGUUAACCUCGCUAUGAGCAGCAGGAGCCAGCAGCCCACAGAGCCCCUUCAAACAGAGGGACAGAAGCAGUGGGGAGACAGAAAGACAGUAAAAAAGUCAUUCAUCCUUGAUUUUUCUCUUGGCUGUAAGGCUUGUGAUAACAAACUACGGUGGAAGCGUUGUGCUGCUAUAAAUGAAUUUGCAGUUGAGUCAUGCUCAGCCAGACAAUAGCCUGGCGGUCACCCCCAUGAGCAUCACAGGCAGCAAUUCCCACCCUGGAGCAUCCCACAGUUCAGCAAUAAUGACCAUGAUGGUGAUUUCUCACCACAAACAGUGGGAUACGGAAAAAAAAAAGACACCUCUCACUUACCACAACAAAUUCCCUCCCAAUUUUUCCGGCACUAAAGCAGACCACCUCGCUCACCUGACUGGCUUGGCACAGAAUCAUGCUCCAUUGUCUUGACUGACAUAUGCUUAAUUCCUCCCCAACAACUGCGACUUCAUCAAGGUGCUGCACAGUGGGAAAGGCAUCCUCAUUGCCAAAUAAAAGUUGUUCCCACAUGAGCUGUUUGCAGAAGCUGAAGUGCUCUGCUUACUCCGGAAUACUAACCAGCUGCUUACUUUCACAAGUGUUUGUUCCCACCCAUCACCAGCCUUUAGGUUAAUCCAGCGCGUCUUCCCUACUCAUUAAAAAAAAAAGAGCAGGGCAGAAGAACUGCAGAGGGAAGCUCUGAAUGAAGAAUGCUGGAAAAUGUGCUGACUUGGGGGUACUAAAGUUAAAAUGUGCGUUUCUGAGAUCAGCAAGUCCAUGUGCCAACCCAACUGAGUAUGAACAGGGCUACGAUCAGCACAUCAGUUCAAAAUACAGUGCAGAGCAUCAAGUGCAAAAUGGCCAUAAUAUUAUCUUUGCUAGCAAAUUCCUUAAUAAUUUACUGAGGAAGUGCAAAUUAAAGUUAGGAAAGGGCUGAGUGCCCUAAUUAAAACUGAUCUUUUCCAGCUCAUAUAGCUGAUCCUAUUGAGAUGUUUUAAAGUAUUCAAUUCUAAGACCAGUUUUCUCCUGCCUCUCAGCUGUCUUCUUUGUCCAUUUUUGCAAAGAAAAUAAUUCAAAUGAGUUUUGAGAAGUGCAAUGUUAUGAAUAUAUUGUUACACAAAACAGAUGAAAAGCAGGUAUUUGUUUGAAAUAGUAUUUCCAUCUCAGCUUAUCCCAGAAGUCAAGGGUGAUGGCACCUACACGACAGUCAAUUGCAUUCACCCAGGCCCCUCACACAUACACCCUAACGAUGAAUGAAUGAAUAAAUAAAAGUUAAAGAAAGUGCUGGAUUCACUGUAGUCGUGACUGAGCCAUGCUUAAGUAAGCAAGAAGAUGAACUGUCAAGAGCUUCUUCUUGGUUUUGAGCUGUUCAGCUGAACUACUGAAAUGUUCCUUCAUGAAUAGAUACGCAGCUGUAUUAAACAUGGGAAAAAUAAUUAAAAAAGAAUAAUUUGGUUUAUAAUAAUAUGGUAAAAAGGCUACACAGCGUUCGCUUAGUGCGGCUAUUUCCAGGCAGCUGACUAGAUUACAUGUAAAAUAAUCCCAUGUCUUCCAUACAAAUAGUGCACCGUGGGUCUGCCAAGGCUGAACGUUACAAUACUGUAAAAGUGAAGCUGGAAUUCUUCCUGAUCUAAUUAUGCAAAAGCUGUGUUUCAAGCCAAAGACCAUUGAAAUUAUCAGCCAUCACACCCACCUGUACCGCAAGACUUAAUAUUAAUUAUUCUGGCCUCUAAAUGAUCACGAUGCAGGAAUUCUGAUUUCCCAUAGACAGAAAAUGGGAAAUCUGCUAUAAAAAAGGUUUUUAGUGUCUUCAAGUUUCUGUCAUAGUACAGAAGCCUCAUUAGCAUGGCUGUAGGCACUGUGUACAUUAAGAGGGCAAAGACUUGCUCUCUCUAUUGCAUACUGUCUUUGCAUCGUGUUUGCCGUCAGCAGGGGACAUGAUUAACAAAUAAUUUAUGGAUUAGUAAGUUUAAGUCAUUAGGUCAAUACUGAGUUUGUUAAAUGCCUUUAUAUCACCACAGGUUUAAUGUCCUGCAGCUACCCUACAGUGGUUGACCAGAACAAUUAGAAAUUUUAUUUAGAUGGAUUUAAUGCUAGGGGCAUGAAUAAACAAACAAGAAAAGAAAAAGUAAAUUUAAAAAGUAUUUGGAAAAAGCGUUGGGUACUUGGGGAAACUUGGAAAAUGUUCUUACAUAUUCAGCAUACAAUUACAUUCCAUAUGAUCAAUGACUCUACGUAUGGGAUUUAUUCUUUAUUUUCUCCACUUAAUGAAAAUUGGAUUUUUUUUUUCCCCUCCAUAUCCUCAUGAUUUUUUUCAGGACUAUAACGUAGCCCAGGAUUCCAUUCUAUAAUCAUGAAUUUUUGAAGGAGCUUCUUUAAGGCUCCAGAGUAGUGAUUUUCUGCACCACUGACCCUGCCUUUUUUUUAUUAACAGAGAUUGAUUUUCUCCAUCUUGCCAUGUGAAGUUCCAGGGUGUAUCCACUGGAUCACCACCCUAUAAUGUGCAGCGAUACCAACAGCACAAGAUGUGAAUACUUCAACGUUAUCAGAAAUAACAGCUUUUAGAUCACCAGUGUGAGAAGAAACUGGCAGUCAUGAAGCCACCAAAAGCUGUUUGCUAUAGCAAUGGAAACAUACAAUUAUCUUGAAGCUAUUUAAUCUGGAUAAGAUCUAUUAGUUCCCACAGAUAGGUUCCAAUCCAAAAAUAUUGCCAUUUCGCUUAAAUUUUACCUAUUUUGAGGAAUCCUAGUGAUUUCAGUGGGAGCAAUUCACCAAAUAUGAAUAUGUACAAAUCUUGUAGGACUGCAAUUAGGAAGCCUGACUGUGUAAUUGUGACUGUAUACAACAGUCACUAGUCACAGCAAAAGACAUGCUCAUCAAAAAGCUGUGUGGGCUUUUGAAAGCAGAUGCUGUAUCAGUGCGGUGCGCAGCUUUAUUUUGGCUACGCCUCUUCCAGGUGAGUUCUCGUAGAGGCAUCACGGGUAGCACAAAGCCCUCAGGAGGUGCUGUAAAGCUGAAAUAACUGCUGCUAGAAUGAAGAAACUACUGCUAAACAGGAAUUUGUGUAAGGCUGGAAUUCUCCUUGAAUUUACUACAAACUAAAGGCACGUGGACUGGCCAAGCAUUGAGGCAAGGAAGAAAAUUAAAUAAAAACUUAUAUAGAAAAGACACUUAAUUCCUUCAUCAGGAAGCCUGCUUACUGGCAGAAGUGAUAGAAAGGCACAAUUUUUCUGGAAGGUGAUUGCUAAAAACUUCAGAGCAUGGAAUUGCCUGGGACAGUGUAAUAGGCAUGAAUUUAUCGAGUGAAACACAAACUGCCAGGGGUGUAUAAAUUAAUAUAGGACAAACCUUCCAGAAAUAGUAUAAUGGAGCCCAAGGAAGCAGCUAGAUAUCCAGCAUCUCCAGACUAAGAUCUCAGGUUGUCACUAGGUAUUCUAUGAAUCUACAGGAAAAGCACUGGAAAGAUCCUGUAAUUAUCCCCUCAACAUUGUUCCUUACACAGAAAAUCAGAUACAUAAACUCAGAGAAAAAUGUAGACAGUGAACUGAAGCAAAACCCCUAUUAAUUACAAAUAUAGAGAUGCAGAGGUUUAAGUUUUGUUGAUUACUCUCUUUUUCUAGCCUUAACGGUGCAUCAGUCAUGCAAACUUGUUCCAGAACAUCUUUGGCCAGAUUUUAAAUGGCAUUUAGGCACAUUAUUGAAUACCUAUUUAAAACUUGGUGUGUCACCUCUCAGCAUGCUCUGCCCAUGGAAUGGAUGCACUGCCUGAUGAAUCCAGGGAAAAAGACUCGGUAGUUGUAAACAAUGCUGAAAUUUAAUUGAGACGGGAACUGUGCACGAUCAUGUUACUGUUCCCCUGUCUUUUGGUGAUGCUUCACUUCUGUGACUGUGUUAAUUAACCUAAGCAAGCCUUAAUCGGGGCAAGAGAACUAAUGCAAGAUACAUACAGAAAGAAGACACUCUUCUGAUUACCGCAGAAGAAAUUAAUCUUGUUAGAGUAAGCCUGUAACGUGGUUUAAAAGUUCUGCAAGAUGCCCAGGAGAACACCUGACAGAUGUCAAACACGGCUGCCUUUCAUAAUCUGGCGUACAAAGUUCUGAAAUGUAAUUUACUUGAUAUGAGUAAGAAGGAAAGAAGACCCACUUUAUCCCCAAAUGUUUCUCUUCUGCAUCGGUGCUGAGCUGCACUGAACACGUGCAUCUCUGAUGAUCCUGGAAACAUGGUACAGGGAAACCACUGCAAAUUCCUGAAUGAUCAAGUCCUCUAUAAAUAUUUCAAUACCUUCCAAUGCUUGUACCUAUGCUUUUUUAAUUUCUGUGGCUUUAGGGCAUCAGACUUGCCAGUCCUAGUUCAAAAAUCAGUGAAAUUCUGAUAUGUGAAAAGGAAGAAACUAUUCUUUAAACAUGGCCAGUUUUGUGAAACUUGGAAAGGUUCAUUAAGCAUUAAAUGCCCUUCGGCUCUAAACCACACUAACAGAGAAGAUCAACAUAUAUGGUACAAUCCUGCUAUUAUCUAGAAGCCAUUUUAAAAAUCAUAUUUAAUUUUUAUUGUUUCACACAUAUAGAAGUCCUCUUACUGCUUAGAAAUCUAUAAAGGAAAGCCUAUCUGUAAUUAAGACUCUUUGGAGAGAGAUCUUCUCUACUAGUGAAAGCAUGGGUUUGGGUUUUCAAAAAAUAAGAUUAAAAUAAUUUCCUCAAUGUCUAGCCAAAGGUAUUGUAUGAUAAAGCCCUUCGAUUGGUGGACUGCACUCCCAGUUUUGGUCAACGGCUAUUUACCACCUGCACUGCCUAUGGCUAAGGUAAUCUUCAGAUAGAAAAUGGGAGAUGGAAGCAUCCUGCAUGUUUUCCUUGUACUUCUACACUAUGAUGAAAUACUCUUCUCUAGGUAUGUGUCACUGAUCAUCUUUUGGUGGUGAACUUGCUCAACCUUGGAUCUGAUCUGCUACGGCUUCUUAUGAUCAUCUCUCACAGGUGUCCCAGUCAAGCAGAGGAACCAAACCCUCCUGGCUGAGCAAAGCACCAAAAGCUACCUUCCGAGCAGGUCAACUGAAAAUCGGGAGCUGCCUCAAUACAUGACCCGCAUGGACAUUACAGAAAACAGGGAUGUUGGAAAAGAUGUGCUCCUUGAAAACAUGCUGGGAUAGAUCCUGCCUGCUCAACCUGGGUGAGAAAUAGAGUCAUCUUACAUCACUGCAGGCAGCUGAAGCAGACCUGAAACAUAACAUCUCAAAAAAAAAGCUGUACCAUUGAGUUGCAUAACAGAGUGGGACACAAGGACAGUGAAAUCAUGCAAAGCCUGGUACCUUCCACCCACCAGCAACAAGCUGCAGCAAGAAUGCGCCAAGAAAAAGUUGCACCAUCCGGCAGACGACAGUGGCACAAAGAGACAACACUUUGUCAGCCUGGCUGCUGCAAAGGGGAAAUGUCUGCAAGCUGGUAAGAGCAGCUGAGAAAGGAAACGUGUUCCUGUUCCAGUAGCCCUUUUACACAAUUAUUCUUGUGUUCGUCUACACGAUCGCUGCCACUGGUGGAAACCGGCACUGGUGCUGCUGGGGCUGCAGAGCACACGGCAGUUACUUUGCUCCUGGAACAAAGUGGCUUGGCUGGCAUUUGUUAAAACACCACUUGGGAGCAAGGGGCAAGAAGGGCAGCACCACCUUUCUGCUGCCGCAUCUUUCUCCCCGGCUGUACCAUCCCAAAAUGCUGCUUUGAGUUACAGGGGCUGUGAGGGGCUGCAGGAGAUGGGUAAGCUGGGAUGGGGUUCAGCAGGCAGCACAGGCAUUACCUGCCCUCAGUACAAAGAACGGGCAGCGCUUCUGGAGCACUGCAUCACCAAACAGGUUUGUGGUUGCAGCUUCCCGAGCGCCAGGGAGCUCCCCAGCCAGGCGCUGCAGAAGUAGCAGGGCUAAUGAGGAGAGUGUGGGAUUUACUGCUGUAUCCUAGAUACAGGACAUCUGCCCUGGGGUAAGGAGAUGGAAGAGAUCUCCUUCAGCCUGUCAUCCGUGAAUUUAUGCAGAUUUAUAUUAAAGUGCUAAAACCCAAUAAUCUAAUCAGUGUUUGCAGCAAACUUUAAAUCUGUCUGUUUAAUGACAAGCAGGGACAUGACCCUUUCAGCAGCGGAUGCUCCUAAAAUUAUGUGGAAAAAAGGAAAGCACACAAAGGUUUCUCUCUUUUGAGGGAAGCGCAGCUGAACGAACAACAGUCAGAACAAGUGCUACAGUCCUUCCCGUGGGAAUACGUGAUAAUGGGGAAUGCUGUUUCUGUGGUAACCUGCAACCUGGCUGAAAGCCUGUCUGUACAACUGCUGUGAGUUAUGAUGGGUAAAUCGAUGUGGAAGUGAUCUCCUUGUCCUUUGCCGCUUUGGUGAGGUGCCACCCUAUGUUCCUGAGGGUAAACUUGUGGAGACAGUGCUCUUCCACCUGAAGGCGAGGCAGGUAGCUCUCCCAAGCACAGCCUCAGCUCAGCUCUGACCUCCCCAAACUACCACCAUGCCGCCUCGCUGACAUGAAAGGAGAAACACGGGGUCCACCCCAGAGGAAGCGCUUAAGAGAGAGAUGCUGCUGAACGAGCUCUUUUUCUGCACACUAGAAAUUGCCUCUGCUCACUGACUGCGAGAAGCUGCAAAUGGAAGAUAAAUAACAGCAUGAGCAGCAGGAGAAGAAAUAAUGCCACAUUACAUCAAACAGAUCCUUGCUUCACUGUCAGCUUAGAGUCUAUUCCGCACGAAAGGACAGCCUUGCCAUUUGGCCUGUAUAUUUUAUU
This is a long non-coding RNA of Cuculus canorus (common cuckoo), 8480 nucleotides long. RefSeq lists it as uncharacterized. The transcript is spliced from 3 exons. Lineage: Eukaryota; Metazoa; Chordata; Aves; Cuculiformes; Cuculidae. The record is from RefSeq and is a predicted model, not a curated record.